GUCCCUAUCGUCUAGACGGCCCAGGACAUCGCCCUUUCACGGCGGCAACGCGGGUUCGAAUCCCGCUGGGGACGCCA
RNAcentral lists this transfer RNA (77 nucleotides) under bacterium. Its description in RNAcentral is "tRNA-Glu". It matches the Rfam family "tRNA". Rfam says of the family: Transfer RNA (tRNA) molecules are approximately 80 nucleotides in length. Their secondary structure includes four short double-helical elements and three loops (D, anti-codon, and T loops). RNAcentral also lists the same sequence under 2 other names. The record is from RNAcentral.